RNAcentral lists this unclassified non-coding RNA (73 nucleotides) under Rhizobium tibeticum. Lineage: Bacteria; Pseudomonadati; Pseudomonadota; Alphaproteobacteria; Hyphomicrobiales; Rhizobiaceae. The record is from RNAcentral.
AACCGCCCGGUGCGGACGCGCAUGCCGGGUGGUGUGGGAGGGGUGAAGCCCAGAGGCUUCCCCCAAUCCCGAU